UACGUAGGGGGCAAGCGUUGUCCGGAUUUAUUGGGCGUAAAGAGCGUGUAGGCGGCCAUACAGGUCCGUUGUGAAAACUCGAGGCUCAACCUCGAGACGUCGAUGGAAACCGUAUGGCUAGAGUCCGGAAGAGGAGAGUGGAAUUCCUGGUGUAGCGGUGAAAUGCGCAGAUAUCAGGAGGAACACCGGUGGCGAAGGCGGGUCUCUGGGCCGAUAUUGACGCUGAGGAGCGAAAGCGUGGGGAGCGAACAGG
Molecule: ribosomal RNA, 253 nt
Filed under: uncultured bacterium
Lineage: Bacteria
Description: partial 16S ribosomal RNA
Rfam family: Bacterial small subunit ribosomal RNA
Source: RNAcentral